RNAcentral lists this ribosomal RNA (704 nucleotides) under uncultured bacterium. RNAcentral describes it as "bacterial SSU rRNA". It matches the Rfam family "Bacterial small subunit ribosomal RNA", at positions 771 to 1501 of the family's 1533-position model. The record is from RNAcentral.
AACAGGAUUAGAUACCCUGGUAGUCCACGCCGUAAACUAUGGAUGCUAGCUGUUAGAGGUGUCGACCCCUCUAGUAGCGAAGCUAACGCGUUAAGCAUCCCGCCUGUGGAGUACGGUCGCAAGACUAAAACAUAAAGGAAUUGACGGGGACCCGCACAAGCGGUGGAGCGUGUUGUUUAAUUCGAUGGUAAGCGAAGAACCUUACCCAGGCUUGACAUCCUUGGAAUUUCUCCGAAAGGAGAGAGUGCCUUUGGAACCAAGUGACAGGUGUUGCAUGGCCGUCGUCAGCUCGUGUCGUGAGAUGUUUGGUUAAGUCCAUCAACGAGCGCAACCCUUGUGAUUAGUUGAAUUUUUCUAAUCAGACUGCCCUGGCAACAGGGAGGAAGGGGGGGAUGAUGUCAGGUCAGUAUUACCCUUACGUCUGGGGCUACAAACACGCUACAAUGGCCGGUACAAAGGGCUGCCAAGUCGCAAGACGGAGCAAAUCCCAUCAAAGCCGGUCUCAGUUCGGAUUGCAGGCUGAAACUCGCCUGCAUGAAGCUGGAAUCGCUAGUAACGGUAGGUCAGCACACUACCGUGAAUACGUUCCCGGGUCUUGUACACACCGCCCGUCAAACCAUGAAAGUCGCCAAUACCUGACGUGUUGCCCUCGUGCAGCCCUAAGGUAGGGGAGAUGAUUGGGGUUAAGUCGUAACAAGGUAACC